This 424-nucleotide long non-coding RNA is filed under the name Mus musculus (house mouse). RNAcentral's name for it is "predicted gene, 41545". The record is from RNAcentral. Lineage: Eukaryota; Metazoa; Chordata; Mammalia; Rodentia; Muridae.
GUCUUGGUCUAAUUCACAGUAAGCAAAAAGCUCACUGCUAGCUAGCUAUGCUUCCCACUCCUCCCUCCCUCAUUUGCUCACUCCUGCCCGCCCCAUCGCUGCAGCCACUGGUAUGUCGGGUCUGAUCCCGCCCCUGUGUCCUCCAGGGACUCUGUGAGACUUGCUUUUCCACGAGUGUGCCAUCUGCUGCCCCUACACGUGUGCUCUCUCUCUUGUGCACCGGGCUCCUGCGUUCAGCCCAUCACCGCUCCUACUUGGCUGCCUGCCCACAGGCACAAGAAAAACAGCUUUCGCCCUGUCCCUUGUGGACUCUUGUUCACUGAGAAGCCAUUUUUCCCACAGGCUCGACUAUCUGCCUGUGCUUGUUCACGCUCGCAAAUGCCCCUCCUGACAUACACUUUCCAAAAAGUUUAACCCUUGCUGA